UGAUACCAGGGUCAAAAGGUCAUGAGUUUCAUGCUUGCAUGAAAAAGCAUGACUUUGGGACCCGCAAAACAUGAGAAAGUAGCCCGAGCAGGGCGGAUUUCGAAUGUUUUUAGGAUUGCGGGAGCACAAAGUGCGUAGCAAUCCGUAGGUAUCA
RNAcentral lists this small RNA (154 nucleotides) under Muricomes intestini. Its description in RNAcentral is "Clostridiales-1 RNA". It matches the Rfam family "Clostridiales-1 RNA". Lineage: Bacteria; Bacillati; Bacillota; Clostridia; Lachnospirales; Lachnospiraceae. The record is from RNAcentral.